Molecule: transfer RNA, 71 nt
Filed under: Marmota monax (woodchuck)
Lineage: Eukaryota; Metazoa; Chordata; Mammalia; Rodentia; Sciuridae
Description: tRNA.Ala
Rfam family: tRNA
About the family: Transfer RNA (tRNA) molecules are approximately 80 nucleotides in length.
Source: RNAcentral
GGGGUUGUGGCUCAGUGGUAGAGCACUUGCCUUGCAUACAUGAAACACUGUGUUUGAUCCUCAGCACCACA